AAAAGGAUAAUAAUAAUUGAAGUGCUCGACAAUGACAUUUGAAACCAUGUGACCGCAAAGAUAAAAAAAGAAAUAAAAACACAAAAUCAAGAGCUAAUAGAUUUUUUUUUCGCCAAACUACCAAGACAAUUGAAACUAAUUAUAAAACAAAGUGUUCCAGUUCGUUUAAUUAUCAUACCAAAUGUGCAGACAAAGUAAUCCUGGUUAAAAAAUAAUAUAAUUUUUCCAACAAGUGUUAAGAAACUAUCAAGACAAAAGUGCUACGACAAUGUGAUCCACGCAAAAAACAUUAUCAAGACAAGUGUUGAAAUGUGAUUUAAACAAAACAAACUAACAAGACAAAAGUGUUAUGACGAUGUUAUUUUGAUUUUAAAAAAGUUAUCAAGACAAAAGUAUUAAGAAAAUGUGAUUCGGUAAAAAAAAAAAAAAAAAACUAUCAAGCCAAAACUGUUAGGGCGAUGUGAUUCUGAAAAAAAACAUACCAAAACAAACGUGUUAAGACAAUGUGAUUCUGGUUAAAAAAAACCUAUCGAGACAAAAGUGUAAAGACAAUUUGGUUGUGGACAAAAGCCUCUCAAGAUAAAAGUGUAAAACAAGAGUGAUCUGGGACAACUUAGUGAAUAUCAAACAUAAAAAGGUAGACAAAUGUUUUCACGUUCAUGGGUAUAUCAUCACCAAUGUGCAUAGAAUGUGAUUCCAGGUAAAAAAAAAAAUUUUACAGACAAAUCUCUGAAAAAGAUGUGACUCAAAGCGUUACGAUUUUGUAGAAACAAGAAAACUCGGGACGAUGCGAUUCCAAAAAGCAAAACGCGAUAAAAAUGUCGGAAAAAGCAAAAACCAAAACAAUAAAGUCUAAGAAAAGGAUGAAUAUAUAAACAAAAUUGGAAAAAAUGUGAUAGAAAUACAUUUAAAAAUUACGAUUCAAGGACGGGAGAGAGAAACAAAAGAAAAACAAAAAAUACCUACUAAACACAACGAAUGAAUUUAAGCAAAGAUAAUUGCAUUAGUAAUUUACAUUGCACUACAUAAGCUAUUGACUAAUCAUUUAUACAUAUAUUUUUUCAGUGGUAUAUUUCUAGAAAUAUAUAAAUAUGGAUAAUGACUACCAAAAAGGCGUGACUAAAUAGUGAUUAAUGACUAAAUAAGUGAUACACAUCUUGGCAAAAAGUAUAUAAAAGUAAUAUAGAAAAAAUUCUUUUGGAAAAAUACUAUAAAUACAAACAAUGGAAGGUCAGCUGGCUACCCAUAUAUGAUACCUACAAAGACAUUUAGCAAAUUAUUAACAACUAAUCAUGGUUCCUGAUAUUCACGUGGCCAGCAACAUGUGUGAUUUCAUAACCUCUUGAGACUAGAGAGAAUAUUUCGAUCAACUGCCGAGAAACCAAAUACCAAACUGAGGGAAAAUGAACAAAUAAAAAGACGGAGAAAUCAGGAAAUACAAUUCAGUAAAUAUAGAUUUAUAAAGGGUGGAAAAAAUGCCGAAAGAACGCAUCAAAAGUGAGCGCGGAACGGAAGGGGACGACGAGAACGCGCCCACCGCAGGCCAGCGAGGCGAAAAGAAGACGCUCGCAGACGACGGCGGCCAUUAGCAAAAAAAGAUAAGAAAAUGUCCAAGACAACAAUGACGCGUAUGUGCUAGGUAAGAAAAGGAUGAUGACGAUGAUGAUGGUGAUAAAGGUGGCAGGGAGAAAAGUGACAGUAAGUCUACCCUCUUUUUAAACAACUAUGACGAUCCAAUAUAUCAAUAUAAACUAAUGUUAUUGGUUAUUAUCAUCAACUUCACUUUUCAACUGCCCACUCUUGUCAAAAAAAAAAACUGAAGUUAAUACUGAAAGUAAAACCUUUUAUAAAAUCAUUACAAUGAUCAACAGUUAUUAAUAUAAAAAUCACUGGUAUUCUUAGCUACUAAUAUCCCCCACAUUAUCUUACAACUAACCAUGCGUCUCAAAAUAAAAGUAGCUAAAAUAGUUAAUACUGUAAGUUCCGUCUCUUCUAAAAUAACUAAGAUGAUGAACAAUUAUCAAUACAAAAUCACUGAUACUCGUAGCUAUUAAUGUCAUCCACAUCAUUUUACAUCCUCAGCCUCUUCUCAAAUAACUAAGAUGAUCAACAAUGAUCAAUUCUAAAGUCAGUCAUUCAUAGUUAUUAACAUUCACAUCAUUUUAUAUCUGCAGCUUUUUCUAAAAUAACUGAGAUGAUCAACAAUGAUCAAUUCUAAAGUCAGUCAUUCAUAGUUAUUAAUAUUCACAUCAUUUUAUAUCUGCAGCUUUUUCUAAAAUAACUGAGAUGAUCAACAAUGAUCAAUUGUAAAGUCAAUUAUUCAUAGUUAUUAACAUCAUCCACAUCAUUUGAC
Long non-coding RNA from Macrobrachium nipponense, 2353 nucleotides. RefSeq lists it as uncharacterized. The record is from RefSeq and is a predicted model, not a curated record. The transcript is spliced from 3 exons. Lineage: Eukaryota; Metazoa; Arthropoda; Malacostraca; Decapoda; Palaemonidae.